This 492-nucleotide ribosomal RNA is filed under the name uncultured bacterium. Its description in RNAcentral is "partial 16S ribosomal RNA". It matches the Rfam family "Bacterial small subunit ribosomal RNA", at positions 29 to 507 of the family's 1533-position model. The record is from RNAcentral.
AGUGAACGCUGGCGGUAGGCCUAACACAUGCAAGUCGAACGGCAGCACAGUAAGAGCUUGCUCUUACGGGUGGCGAGUGGCGGACGGGUGAGGAAUACAUCGGAAUCUACUUUUUCGUGGGGGAUAACGUAGGGAAACUUACGCUAAUACCGCAUACGACCUACGGGUGAAAGCAGGGGAUCUUCGGACCUUGCGCGAUUGAAUGAGCCGAUGUCGGAUUAGCUAGUUGGCGGGGUAAAGGCCCACCAAGGCGACGAUCCGUAGCUGGUCUGAGAGGAUGGUCAGCCACACUGGAACUGGAACACGGUCCAGACUCCUACGGGAGGCAGCAGUGGGGAAUAUUGGACAAUGGGCGCAAGCCUGAUCCAGCCAUACCGCGUGGGUGAAGAAGGCCUUCGGGUUGUAAAGCCCCUUUGUUGGGAAAGAAAAGCAGCAGGUUAAUACCCCGCUGUUCUGACGGUACCCAAAGAAUAAGCACCGGCUAACUUCGUG